This 231-nucleotide long non-coding RNA is filed under the name Malus domestica (apple). Its description in RNAcentral is "long non-coding RNA (MDOM_LNC002666)". Lineage: Eukaryota; Viridiplantae; Streptophyta; Magnoliopsida; Rosales; Rosaceae. The record is from RNAcentral.
AACCCUUUGUAAAAUCUCUGCUACCUUGUUUGAAUCUUGUUGUAGUAUCGAUUCCCUCCUGUAAACUCAUCUCCCAAUCUCCCAUUCUAGCUCUCAAACCCUUUGUAAAUCACAAAGAGAGGAAGUUGCAAGACGAUCAGCCUUGCCCGACAAGGUGAAACCUUGCCCGACCCUCUUUGUUCUGUCUUUUCAUUCAUAAAUCUAGUAAUAUGAUGUAUACUUCCAUCUGUA